AGAGUUUGAUCCUGGCUCAGAUUGAACGCUGGCGGCAUGCUUUACACAUGCAAGUCGAACGGGGUUAAGGGGCUUGCUCCUUAAUCUAGUGGCGAACGGGUGAGUAAUGCAUCGGAACGUACCCGGGAGUGGGGGAUAACGCACCGAAAGGUGUGCUAAUACCGCAUAUUCUGUGAGCAGGAAAGCAGGGGACCUUAGGGCCUUGUGCUUCCGGAGCGGCCGAUGUCGGAUAGCUAGUUGGUGAGGUAAAGGCUCACCAGGCGACGACCGUAGCGGUCUGAGAGAUGAUC
Molecule: ribosomal RNA, 290 nt
Filed under: uncultured bacterium
Lineage: Bacteria
Description: partial 16S ribosomal RNA
Rfam family: Bacterial small subunit ribosomal RNA
Source: RNAcentral